Long non-coding RNA from Falco peregrinus (peregrine falcon), 762 nucleotides. RefSeq lists it as uncharacterized. Lineage: Eukaryota; Metazoa; Chordata; Aves; Falconiformes; Falconidae. The transcript has 5 exons. The record is from RefSeq and is a predicted model, not a curated record.
UGGGGUUUUUUUUGUCUUUCACCCAUGGCAACAGAGCCAGUGCUUCUUUGCAAAAUUAAUAGAGUCCUUUGCACAACAUCUCCAUACAAAGGGGCACCAGACAAUGAAGCAUGGUGAGCGCGGCAGGCAUUGACAGCUUCUAGACAGUGCUGAGAUUGCAAGCGAAGUUACGGCACCUGCUUGCUGCAGCUGAUCCUUCAUUAUUAUGGCUCACAUGCUCAUCUCUCCAGAAAUACUUCUGCAGCCUGCUGGGAGCCCAAGGUUUUAGGAUCUGAAAUCCUUUUCACAGUGUGACUGGCUGAGGGGUGUCCAGAGAGGUUAGGCUUCCAACUUGGAGUUUCUCUGCUUUGCAAACAGAAGCAAGGAUGUGGAAACCUGGGUCACUUGCUCACAAGCUGCAAAGAAGGAAAAAAACCAAACAAAAAAACCCUACUCAACCAGGUGAAACUCCUGUCAUACAGUGUCUUCCUAUGGCCAGGUCAGAUGUCUUUCUCCUCCUCCAACUUCAGCUGCUGCAGAGGCUGCACAGAACUAAAUGGUCUUCCAGUGCUUUUACAGGAAACUGGUGUUUUUGACAGACUGGCAGAGCUGCUUCCUCUGGAAAACAAGUAAGAUUGAGUACUCUGUCUUCUACAUACUAUUGCCUGCCUAAAGGAAAGAAACAACCAUGCUGGGGAGGCAGCAGAACAGGAGAUACUCAGCUAAUCCUACAAAUGAAACUAGAAGCCAUAGAGACAUGCAGCUCCAACAGAAUGCAGCUUC